RNAcentral lists this ribosomal RNA (663 nucleotides) under Tolypothrix sp. Ep_Yyyy900. RNAcentral describes it as "bacterial SSU rRNA". It matches the Rfam family "Bacterial small subunit ribosomal RNA", at positions 66 to 771 of the family's 1533-position model. Lineage: Bacteria; Bacillati; Cyanobacteriota; Cyanophyceae; Nostocales; Tolypothrichaceae. The record is from RNAcentral.
ACGGAGUACUUCGGUACUUAGUGGCGGACGGGUGAGUAACGCGUGAGAAUCUGCCUUCAGGUUCGGGACAACCACUGGAAACGGUGGCUAAUACCGAAUGUGCAGCGAUGUGAAAAAUUUAUUGCCUGAAGAUGAGCUCGCGUCUGAUUAGCUAGUAGGUGUGGUAAGAGCGCACCUAGGCGACGAUCAGUAGCUGGUCUGAGAGGAUGAUCAGCCACACUGGGACUGAGACACGGCCCAGACUCCUACGGGAGGCAGCAGUGGGGAAUUUUCCGCAAUGGGCGAAAGCCUGACGGAGCAAUACCGCGUGAGGGAGGAAGGCUCUUGGGUUGUAAACCUCUUUUCUCAAGGAAGAAAAAAAUGACGGUACUUGAGGAAUAAGCAUCGGCUAACUCCGUGCCAGCAGCCGCGGUAAUACGGAGGAUGCAAGCGUUAUCCGGAAUGAUUGGGCGUAAAGCGUCCGCAGGUGGCUGUGUAAGUCUGCUGUUAAAUAGUGAGGCUCAACCUCAUAAAGGCAGUGGAAACUACACGGCUAGAGUGCGUUCGGGGCAGAGGGAAUUCCUGGUGUAGCGGUGAAAUGCGUAGAGAUCAGGAAGAACACCGGUGGCGAAAGCGCUCUGCUAGGCCGCAACUGACACUGAGGGACGAAAGCUAGGGGAGCGA